This 97-nucleotide transfer RNA is filed under the name Lentinula raphanica. RNAcentral's name for it is "tRNA-Asp". The record is from RNAcentral. Lineage: Eukaryota; Fungi; Basidiomycota; Agaricomycetes; Agaricales; Omphalotaceae.
UCCCUGGUAGUAUAUCGGUUUAGUACACGCGCCUGUCAUAUAUGUGCCUCAGCCAAGAAGGACGCGCGAAAGCUGGGUUCGACUCCCAGCCAGGGAG